GCCGCAGUAGCUCAGAUGGUAGAGCACGACAUUCGUAAUGUUGGGGUCGGGGGUUCGAGUCCCUUCUGCGGCACCA
RNAcentral lists this transfer RNA (76 nucleotides) under Sphingobium fontiphilum. Its description in RNAcentral is "tRNA-Thr". It matches the Rfam family "tRNA". From Rfam's summary of the family: Transfer RNA (tRNA) molecules are approximately 80 nucleotides in length. The record is from RNAcentral. Lineage: Bacteria; Pseudomonadati; Pseudomonadota; Alphaproteobacteria; Sphingomonadales; Sphingobiaceae.